AAAGAAAGGCGAGGCUGUUUCUACAGGUGCCACAGAAAAAUCGAUGCCGAGUCACGGAUUAUUGGAUCCCACAGAACCAUGGAGACUUGGCGGUGAAAUUCUUCUAAAGG
Non-coding RNA from Rattus norvegicus (Norway rat), 110 nucleotides. NCBI's taxonomy places the organism in Eukaryota, Metazoa, Chordata, Mammalia, Rodentia, Muridae. The record is from Rfam.